AGGGCGAGACCUGGACCAGCCACGCCGCGGUGCAGGAAGAAGGCCCUACGGGUUUGUAAACUGCUUUUAUACGGGAAGAAGGUCCCUCUUGCGAGGGGGAGUGACGGUACCGUAGGAAUAAGCAUCGGCUAACUCCGUGCCAGCAGCCGCGGUAAUACGAAA
RNAcentral lists this ribosomal RNA (162 nucleotides) under uncultured Aequorivita sp. Its description in RNAcentral is "partial 16S ribosomal RNA". It matches the Rfam family "Bacterial small subunit ribosomal RNA", at positions 373 to 530 of the family's 1533-position model. Lineage: Bacteria; Pseudomonadati; Bacteroidota; Flavobacteriia; Flavobacteriales; Flavobacteriaceae. The record is from RNAcentral.